RNAcentral lists this ribosomal RNA (376 nucleotides) under uncultured bacterium. RNAcentral's name for it is "bacterial SSU rRNA". It matches the Rfam family "Bacterial small subunit ribosomal RNA", at positions 137 to 507 of the family's 1533-position model. The record is from RNAcentral.
GGGGGGAUAACUGCGCGAAAGCGUUGCUAAUACCGCAUACGACCUACGGGUGAAAGCAGGGGACCGCAAGGCCUUGCGUCGAUGGAGCGGCCGAUGCCGGAUUAGCUAGUUGGUGAGGUAAAGGCUUACCAAGGCGACGAUCCCGUAGCUGGUCUGAGAGGACGACCAGCCACACUGGGACUGAGACACGGCCCAGACUCCUACGGGAGGCAGCAGUGGGGAAUCUUGGACAAUGGGCGCAAGCCUGAUCCAGCAAUGCCGCGUGUGGGAAGAAGGCCUUCGGGUUGUAAACCACUUUUGGCAGGAAAGAAAUCGUCCGGGUUAAUACCCUGGAUGGAUGACGGUACCUGCAGAAUAAGCACCGGCUAACUACGUG